Molecule: long non-coding RNA, 1077 nt
Filed under: Callithrix jacchus (white-tufted-ear marmoset)
Lineage: Eukaryota; Metazoa; Chordata; Mammalia; Primates; Cebidae
Description: lncRNA (ENSCJAG00000084037.1)
Source: RNAcentral
AUUUUGAUAUCUGCAUUUAGAAACAUCCAAUGUCUGUCACCACCAUUUCCACAGGACACUGGGAGGAGAGCUGACUCUUUAUCCGUUUUGGACAGUUGAACACCUCAAACGCACCACAAGAAGCAGUCUUGGCCAAACACACCACAUUGGCAAGCUGGUCAAGCCCCUUCUGAGACAGAAAGGGUGGAGCAUAAGGAUGGAGUCUGGCCCAAAGUCUCUGCUAGGAAGGGACCACAUGUGUUCUCUGUCAGAGACGGGUCUCUCUAUGUUGCCCAGGCUGGCGUGCAGUAGCUAUUCACAGGUGCAAUCACAGCUCAUCGCAGUCUCCAACUCCUGGACUCAAGUGAGCCUCCUGCCUCAGCUUACCUAGUAGUGGAGACAGCAGGAGAUCUGAGGCUCAAAGCACCCAACUAGAACCUGCAACAACCAAAUUGGAUUGCUCCCUCUGCUCUCAUGAAUCUCUUUAUAAGCUCACCUGAUUCAGUUUUUAGUCCAAACUAGCAUUUGUUCCUGUAAGUAAAAAGUCAUAUAUUUUAUGUUUCUAAAACAUUAAUUAGGUGUUAUUUUAAUUGUGGCUUUCCAUUUUCAACUGGUCUGGCAUUUUUUUUGCCCAUUGUAUGUGCCGUGGAAACAAACAGACCAUUCUCCAUUCAGAGAUGAUAUAUAUUUGCAUACAACACAGCUAUCCACGAGUGUAAUGUCUCUUGCACAAACACGCAAAAAUACAUGACGGCUCCUUGCUCUCUUAAAAUUUUUUCAGAUGGCCAGGCGCAGUGGCUCACACCUGUAAUCACAGCACUUUGGGAGGCCAAGGUAGGUGGAUCAUCUGAGGUCAGGAGUUUGAAACCAGCCUGGCCAGCAUGGCGAAAGCCCAUCUACUAAAAAUACAAAAAUUAGCCAGUUGCGGUGGUGGGUGCCUGUAAUCCCAGCUACUUGGGAGGCUGAGGCAGGAGAAUCACUUGAACCUGGGAGGCGGAGGUUGCAGUGAGCCAAGAUCACGCCAUUUGGGCCAUUGUACUCCAACCUGGGUGACAGAGCAAGACUCCAUCUUAAAAAAAAAAAAAAUCCUUUCAGAUU